GGGCGGUUAGCUCAGUUGGUAGAGCGCAACAUUGACGUUGUUGAUGUCAGAGGUUCGAAUCCUCUACCGCCCACUA
RNAcentral lists this transfer RNA (76 nucleotides) under bacterium CG10_49_38. RNAcentral describes it as "tRNA-Val". It matches the Rfam family "tRNA". Rfam says of the family: Transfer RNA (tRNA) molecules are approximately 80 nucleotides in length. Their secondary structure includes four short double-helical elements and three loops (D, anti-codon, and T loops). RNAcentral also lists the same sequence under 1 other name. The record is from RNAcentral.